UGGGGAAUAUUGGACAAUGGGCGCAAGCCUGAUCCAGCCAUGCCGCGUGUGUGAAGAAGGCCUUCGGGUUGUAAAGCACUUUUGUCCGGAAAGAAAUCCUGUCGGCUAAUACCCGGCGGGGAUGACGGUACCGGAAGAAUAAGCACCGGCUAACUUCGUGCCAGCAGCCGCGGUAAUACGAAGGGUGCAAGCGUUACUCGGAAUUACAGGGCGUAAAGCGUGCGUAGGUGGUUUGUUAAGUCUGAUGUGAAAGCCCUGGGCUCAACCUGGGAACUGCAUUGGAUACUGGCUUACUAGAGUGCGGUAGAGGGUGGCGGAAUUCCCGGUGUAGCAGUGAAAUGCGUAGAUAUCGGGAGGGACAUCCGUGGCGAAGGCGGCCACCUGGACCAGCACUGACACUGAGGCACGAAAGCGUGGGGAGCAAACAGGAUUAGAUACCCUGGUAGUCCACGCCCUAAACGAUGCGAACUGGAUGUUGGGAGCAACUAGGCUCUCAGUAUCGAAGCUAACGCGUUAAGUUCGCCGCCUGGGAAGUACGGUCGCAAGACUGAAACUUAAAUGAAUUGACGGGGUCAUAGCUGUUUCC
Molecule: ribosomal RNA, 586 nt
Filed under: uncultured bacterium
Lineage: Bacteria
Description: partial 16S ribosomal RNA
Rfam family: Bacterial small subunit ribosomal RNA
Source: RNAcentral